Amphiprion ocellaris (clown anemonefish) is the source of this 1672-nucleotide long non-coding RNA. NCBI's taxonomy places the organism in Eukaryota, Metazoa, Chordata, Actinopteri, Pomacentridae. The record is from Ensembl.
AUUUAAUGGAGCUGCUUUACACUUUUUACACUGUUCAUUCACAAACACUUUAUUUAAUAAAAGUCCCAUCUAGUUUUUAUGAGGAAUGUGAUGUUUUAAUUUCUCUGUGAAUAACUGCAGUCUAAUGUAACAGCUGGAGUUGUAACAUCUGUCCUGAUAUUGAUCAUGAAAUAUUGAUCAGAAUACUUAUGGUCAGCAGUCAUCCCUGAAGUUUUACAUUAAAAUCUUUACUUGUGUUGUGAACUUUGGUAAGAAGCAGAAACGUUAGCGUUGCCAUGGAUACAUGAUUGUUAAAUUCUGUCCAUGUUUCCAUUUUGGGAAAUGCAGUCCAGUUCCAGAAUGUGGAGGAAUUUAGUCUCACAAUCACAGACAACAAAUAUUAUCUGAAAGUCAGGUUAUUGUUGUUUAUCAGCACAAUACAAAAAGUUUAAUGUUAGAAAUAUUCCAGUUAAGACUCUAGAAUAUCAUGAUUUAUGUAAAUUUACCUCAAUAAUAUGAAUGUUCAGGUUAAGAUUGUACAGUGAUAUUUAUUAUGUAAGUUUAGCUGAUUAAAGUUUAUGACUCUGCACUAAAAUAUUAUUUAAAUUGACAUCAUUAUUAUAAUAUUUAGGGUCAGACCCUACAGUAUUGAGAUUAAGAAAUCAAAUAUUCUAUAAAAUGUAAAUACACUGAACUCAUUUGGAUAUAUUUAAGUGAGACUCUACAAUAUUAUUUGACACAAAUCUAUCUAAAUCAAAAUUUUAAUAAUUUUCAUGCCAAACAUUUACUGGACUGAUUUAAAUAUUAAAAUCACUCCUUUCUAAUCCUCUGCUGUACGUUCAAACCUGAGGCCUUAAAUAGAAACACACAAGUAUCCGAUUGAAGGAACUUCUGUAGAGUCCUGGUUCCAGAACAUGAUGAUAGAAUUAUAGAUAAACUUUAACAAAAGCUGCCUGAGUGUUUACAGGUUUUUAUGUUGGAUUUCUUCAGUAAUUUAAUGAGAGUUAUCAGCAAAAAUCAAGUGUUCAUUUGAUGAACUUCAUUUCCUAAAACAUCCAGAAUUGGAGCUCAUAUCUUUGGCAGCUCUAAAGUUUCUGCUCCUUCAAAGUUCACAACACAAUGAAUAAAUUCCUAAAACACUCUGUGCUGGAGAGCGUUUGUGAUGCUGAAGCAGUGAUCAGUUUUUCUGUUUCUUCUCUGGAGAUGAACAAUGAGGGACGUCUGCAGAGACUGAGAAAGAGUCUCACCACAUCCUGACAUGAGGAAAAAGACUUUAUUGAAGACUACAAUGAGAAAAACUAUCAGACAGCAGACGGCUGCAUUCAAGGCUACAGGAGGAGCCCUACGAGGACGAGCCGGUCCACCUGAUGGCGGCCAGUCGCUGCGGUUCAAAGCCAACACCGACUACGUGGACUUCUACUGGACCACACGGAGGCCUUCAAACCGGACCAACAAGUUCAGCGACUCCCCGACUCGUGGGUCUGAGGACGCCGCCGAGCCUCGGACCAGCCGGCCGCCUGUCUGUGGGUGUUUGAGUGCUGAGAGGUUUGUGGAUGCAUGUGAACAUGUCUGUGUUGAAACAGCAGCUUUGGACUCAGUAACGCCGGGAAAAACCAAGAGCUCCUUUAUUUGUGACUUCCACUAAAAAAACCUGAUGAAAAUAAGUUUGCCAGGGUUCUGACUGAUAACAGGU